CAGCCGCCGCGGUAAUACGAAGGGUGCAAGCGUUAAUCGGAAUUACUGGGCGUAAAGCGUGCGUAGGCGGUGAGUUAAGUCUGCUGUGAAAUCCCCGGGCUCAACCUGGGAAUGGCAGUGGAUACUGGCUCGCUAGAGUGUGUCAGAGGAUGGUGGAAUUCCCGGUGUAGCGGUGAAAUGCGUAGAGAUCGGGAGGAACAUCAGUGGCGAAGGCGGCCAUCUGGGACAACACUGACGCUGAGGCACGAAAGCGUGGGGAGCAAACAGGAUUAGAUACCCGGGUAGUCCCUGUCUCUUAUAC
RNAcentral lists this ribosomal RNA (301 nucleotides) under uncultured bacterium. RNAcentral's name for it is "partial 16S ribosomal RNA". It matches the Rfam family "Bacterial small subunit ribosomal RNA", at positions 509 to 807 of the family's 1533-position model. The record is from RNAcentral.